CUGACGAGUGGCGGACGGGUGAGUAAUGUCUGGGAAACUGCCUGAUGGAGGGGGAUAACUACUGGAAACGGUAGCUAAUACCGCAUAACGUCGCAAGACCAAAGAGGGGGACCUUCGGGCCUCUUGCCAUCGGAUGUGCCCAGAUGGGAUUAGCUAGUAGGUGGGGUAACGGCUCACCUAGGCGACGAUCCCUAGCUGGUCUGAGAGGAUGACCAGCCACACUGGAACUGAGACACGGUCCAGACUCCUACGGGAGGCAGCAGUGGGGAAUAUUGCACAAUGGGCGCAAGCCUGAUGCAGCCAUGCCGCGUGUAUGAAGAAGGCCUUCGGGUUGUAAAGUACUUUCAGCGGGGAGGAAGGGAGUAAAGUUAAUACCUUUGCUCAUUGACGUUACCCGCAGAAGAAGCACCGGCUAACUCCGUGCCAGCAGCCGCGGUAAUACGGAGGGUGCAAGCGUUAAUCGGAAUUACUGGGCGUAAAGCGCACGCAGGCGGUUUGUUAAGUCAGAUGUGAAAUCCCCGGGCUCAACCUGGGAACUGCAUCUGAUACUGGCAAGCUUGAGUCUCGUAGAGGGGGGUAGAAUUCCAGGUGUAGCGGUGAAAUGCGUAGAGAUCUGGAGGAAUACCGGUGGCGAAGGCGGCCCCCUGGACGAAGACUGACGCUCAGGUGCGAAAGCGU
This 678-nucleotide ribosomal RNA is filed under the name Shigella sp. BCCO 40_FK81. RNAcentral describes it as "bacterial SSU rRNA". It matches the Rfam family "Bacterial small subunit ribosomal RNA", at positions 88 to 762 of the family's 1533-position model. The record is from RNAcentral. Lineage: Bacteria; Pseudomonadati; Pseudomonadota; Gammaproteobacteria; Enterobacterales; Enterobacteriaceae.